This 253-nucleotide ribosomal RNA is filed under the name uncultured bacterium. RNAcentral describes it as "partial 16S ribosomal RNA". It matches the Rfam family "Bacterial small subunit ribosomal RNA", at positions 524 to 776 of the family's 1533-position model. The record is from RNAcentral.
UACGUAGGGUCCAAGCGUUAAUCGGAAUUACUGGGCGUAAAGCGUGCGCAGGCGGUUGUGUAAGCCAGAUGUGAAAUCCCCGGGCUUAACCUGGGAACUGCAUUUGUGACUGCAUGGCUAGAGUGCGGCAGAGGGGGAUGGAAUUCCGCGUGUAGCAGUGAAAUGCGUAGAUAUGCGGAGGAACACCGAUGGCGAAGGCAAUCCCCUGGGCCUGCACUGACGCUCAUGCACGAAAGCGUGGGGAGCAAACAGG